RNAcentral lists this ribosomal RNA (940 nucleotides) under uncultured bacterium. Its description in RNAcentral is "bacterial SSU rRNA". It matches the Rfam family "Bacterial small subunit ribosomal RNA", at positions 28 to 1015 of the family's 1533-position model. The record is from RNAcentral.
AACGUACGCUGGCGGCACGCCUAACACAUGCAAGUCGAGCGAGGUAGCAAUACCUAGCGGCAGACGGGUGCGUAACAUGUGGGAAUCUGCCUUUUGGUUCGGAAUAACACGGGGAAACCUGUGCUAAUACCGGAUAAGUCCUUACGGAGAAAGUUUUAAUGCCAAAAGAUGAGCCCGCAUUUGAUUAGUUUGUUGGUGAGGUAAUGGCUCACCAAGACUACAAUCAAUAGCUGAUUUGAGAGGAUGAUCAGCCACACUGGGACUGAGAUACGGCCCAGACUCCUACGGGAGGCAGCAGUGGGGAAUCUUGCACAAUGGGCGAAAGCCUGAUGCAGCGAUGCCGCGUGAGUGAAGAAGGCCCUUGGGUUGUAAAGCUCUUUUGUCGGGAAAGAUAAUGACUGUACCCGAAGAAUAAGGUCCGGCUAACUUCGUGCCAGCAGCCGCGGUAAUACGAAGGGACCUAGCGUAGUUCGGAAUUACUGGGCGUAAAGAGUAUGUAGGCGGCUAGAUAAGUUAAUUGUGAAAGCCCAAAGCUUAACUUUGGAAUUGCAAUUAAAACUAUUUAGCUAGAGUAUGAUAGAGGAAAGCGGAAUACAUAGUGUAGAGGUGAAAUUCGUAGAUAUUAUGUAGAACACCAGUUGCGAAGGCGGCUUUCUGGAUCAUUACUGACGCUGAGAUACGAAAGUAUGGGUAGCGAAGAGGAUUAGAUACCCUCGUAGUCCAUACUGUAAACGAUGAUUAUUAGAUGUGGGGAAUUAUUUCUCUGUAUCACAGCUAACGCGUUAAAUAAUCCGCCUGGGGAGUACGACCGCAAGGUUAAAACUCAAAUGAAUUGACGGGGACCCGCACAAGCGGUGGAGCAUGUGGUUUAAUUCGAAGCAACGCGCAGAACCUUACCAACCCUUGACAUGUUCGUCGCGAGACUAAGAAAUUAGUCUCU